Molecule: ribosomal RNA, 506 nt
Filed under: uncultured bacterium
Lineage: Bacteria
Description: partial 16S ribosomal RNA
Rfam family: Bacterial small subunit ribosomal RNA
Source: RNAcentral
AGUGAACGCUGGCGGUAGGCCUAACACAUGCAAGUCGAACGGCAGCACAGGAGAGCUUGCUCUCUGGGUGGCGAGUGGCGGACGGGUGAGGAAUACAUCGGAAUCUACUCUGUCGUGGGGGAUAACGUAGGGAAACUUACGCUAAUACCGCAUACGACCUACGGGUGAAAGCAGGGGACCUUCGGGCCUUGCGCGAUUGAAUGAGCCGAUGUCGGAUUAGCUAGUUGGCGGGGUAAAGGCCCACCAAGGCGACGAUCCGUAGCUGGUCUGAGAGGAUGAUCAGCCACACUGGAGCUGUGACACGGUCCAGACUCCUACGGGAGGCAGCAGUGGGGAAUAUUGGACAAUGGGCGCAAGCCUGAUCCAGCCAUACCGCGUGGGUGAAGAAGGCCUUCGGGUUGUAAAGCCCUUUUGUUGGGAAAGAAAUCCAGCUGGCUAAUACCCGGGUGGGAUGACGGUACCCAAAGAAUAAGCACCGGCUAACUUCGUGCCAGCCGCCGCAGUAA